This 371-nucleotide ribosomal RNA is filed under the name uncultured bacterium. RNAcentral's name for it is "bacterial SSU rRNA". It matches the Rfam family "Bacterial small subunit ribosomal RNA", at positions 527 to 896 of the family's 1533-position model. The record is from RNAcentral.
GUAGGAGCCAAGCGUUAUCCGAAUUCACUGGGCGUAAAGCGCGUGCAGGCGGCACGGCAAGUUGGAUGUGAAAGCUCCUGGCUCAACUGGGAGAGGACGUUCAAUACUGUCGAGCUAGAGGACGGCAGAGGGAGGUGGAAUUCCCGGUGUAGUGGUGAAAUGCGUAGAUAUCGGGAGGAACACCAGUGGCGAAGGCGGCCUUCUGGGCCGUACCUGACGCUCAGACGCGAAAGCUAGGGGAGCAAACGGGAUUAGAAACCCCGGUAGUCCUAGCCGUAAACGAUGUAGACUUGGUGUAGGUGGUGUAAAAGCCAUCUGUGCCGAAGCAAACGCGAUAAGUCUACCGCCUGGGGACUACGGCCGCAAGGUUA